AAAGCAAAUCACAAAAUACGAAUUAAGUGAAUAUUAAUGGAGUACGAAUUAAUUUUAAUUAGGAGUAGUAGUAUAAUUUUUCAUUAGGAAAAUCAGAAAUAAAACCCUCUCCUCUUCACGCUACUUUUUAUAGCUCUUCGAUUCUCCGUUGCAGAAAAAAAAUUGGUUCAAUUCAAAGUUUAUGUUCUUCGAUUUCAAUUGUAGAUAAAAAUUGGUUCGAUUUCACAACUCUUCACGUCGUCUUCUUGUUCUUCGAUAUCAAUUGUAGACUGAAAUUGGUUCAAUUCAGAUUUUCUGUUCUUCGAUUUCAAUUGUACAAAGAAAUUGGUUCAAUUUCACAACUCUUCACGCCUUCUUCUUGUUCUUCGAUUUUCCAUUGCAGACGGAAAUUCGUUCAAUUCAGAGUUUUCGCAACCAUUCACGGCCUCUUGUAGUUUCCACGAAUCAGAUACAAUUGUAAGGAGAUUUUAUGGUUUAUGCAGCUCUGAGUUCCUUCUAAUUAAAACAUAUAAGUCUCACGACAUCGCAUUUUCCUCAGUUUUUCUGUCAGCGCAAAGCAUCUUGCUGGUUGGUGAAAAUGGACAAGUCCAUAGCACUAUGUGGCCUUAUUCGAGAAGAAGUUAAUCUGAAUAAGCCAUUGAAUCCUCAUUCAUUACACCAUCAACUUCACCAUCAGUUUUAUCAAGGAGAACAACACUGCAGUCGUCCUUAUGCCUAGAUUGGCUCCAAGAGCCAAGGAUAUCCUGGUAACUUUACCCUACUGAUGAUGAUAAAGACCUCCCUAACUCCCUAACUCCCCUGGUGGUUCAUAUGAGAUACGACAUUUGUGAUUUGUCUUCUUGAUUUUGUGAACUCCUGUUUUCUGUUUGUGUCUUCAUUAUUAAAAAUAUUUGUCUUUGAAUUUUACUCCUGAUAUGGUGAUUCUUUGAUUUACGCCAUCCAACAAGAUAAUGCUUCACUCCUAAAUUGCAUUCCUAGAUAUUUGUCUUUUUUCCGGUUUACUGAAGAUGAAGUCAGUGAGAUCUGUGCACAAGCUUUGCUCAAUGAUAAUUGGAAGCACUGAAGAGAGAGGGUAGAGAUUUUAUCAAUCAAAGAAGCUCCUAAUGUCCUUCCAAUCACGAUUUACUGUUUUUGAAGCUGUAUUUAUUUAUUGCAGGGGUGAAUAGUGUUUCGCCUAAUCAAAUAUUGUACUAUCAGUUAAUGUUUUCUUAAUUGUUGAUCAAUAAAUUUAUAAAUUAAAAAUAAAA
Long non-coding RNA from Salvia splendens (bonfire salvia), 1247 nucleotides. RefSeq lists it as uncharacterized. The record is from RefSeq and is a predicted model, not a curated record. NCBI's taxonomy places the organism in Eukaryota, Viridiplantae, Streptophyta, Magnoliopsida, Lamiales, Lamiaceae. The transcript has 6 exons.